This 253-nucleotide ribosomal RNA is filed under the name uncultured bacterium. Its description in RNAcentral is "partial 16S ribosomal RNA". It matches the Rfam family "Bacterial small subunit ribosomal RNA", at positions 524 to 776 of the family's 1533-position model. The record is from RNAcentral.
GACGAACCGUGCGAACGUUGUUCGGAAUUACUGGGCGUAAAGGGCCAGUAGGCGGCCAACUAAGUCACACGUGAAAUCCCCAGGCUUAACCUGGGAACUGCGUGUGAUACUGGAUGGCUUGAAUUCGGGAGAGGGAUGCAGAAUUCCAGGUGUAGCGGUGAAAUGCGUAGAUAUCUGGAGGAAUACCGGUGGCGAAGGCGGCAUCCUGGACCGACAUUGACGCUGAACGGCGAAAGCUAGGGGAGCAAACGGG